GAGACACCCUUAUGGGGCAGGACUUGCUUCAGUGGGGCUCACUGAGUCUGCCCCUUAAGUGUGUCACU
This is a non-coding RNA of Myotis brandtii (Brandt's bat), 68 nucleotides long. The record is from Rfam. NCBI's taxonomy places the organism in Eukaryota, Metazoa, Chordata, Mammalia, Chiroptera, Vespertilionidae.